RNAcentral lists this ribosomal RNA (847 nucleotides) under uncultured Gammaproteobacteria bacterium. RNAcentral's name for it is "bacterial SSU rRNA". It matches the Rfam family "Bacterial small subunit ribosomal RNA", at positions 56 to 896 of the family's 1533-position model. The record is from RNAcentral. Lineage: Bacteria; Pseudomonadati; Pseudomonadota; Gammaproteobacteria.
UGACAAGUCGAGCGGGGAAGAGUAGCUUGCUACUUAACCUAGCGGCGGACGGGUGAGUAAUGCUUAGGAAUCUGCCUAUUAGUGGGGGACAACAUCUCGAAAGGGAUGCUAAUACCGCAUACGUCCUACGGGAGAAAGCAGGGGACCUUCGGGCCUUGCGCUAAUAGAUGAGCCUAAGUCGGAUUAGCUAGUUGGUGGGGUAAAGGCCUACCAAGGCGACGAUCUGUAGCGGGUCUGAGAGGAUGAUCCGCCACACUGGGACUGAGACACGGCCCAGACUCCUACGGGAGGCAGCAGUGGGGAAUAUUGGACAAUGGGGGGAACCCUGAUCCAGCCAUGCCGCGUGUGUGAAGAAGGCCUUUUGGUUGUAAAGCACUUUAAGCGAGGAGGAGGCUACCGAGAUUAAUACUCUUGGAUAGUGGACGUUACUCGCAGAAUAAGCACCGGCUAACUCUGUGCCAGCAGCCGCGGUAAUACAGAGGGUGCAAGCGUUAAUCGGAUUUACUGGGCGUAAAGCGCGCGUAGGUGGCCAAUUAAGUCAAAUGUGAAAUCCCCGAGCUUAACUUGGGAAUUGCAUUCGAUACUGGUUGGCUAGAGUAUGGGAGAGGAUGGUAGAAUUCCAGGUGUAGCGGUGAAAUGCGUAGAGAUCUGGAGGAAUACCGAUGGCGAAGGCAGCCAUCUGGCCUAAUACUGACACUGAGGUGCGAAAGCAUGGGGAGCAAACAGGAUUAGAUACCCUGGUAGUCCAUGCCGUAAACGAUGUCUACUAGCCGUUGGGGCCUUUGAGGCUUUAGUGGCGCAGCUAACGCGAUAAGUAGACCGCCUGGGGAGUACGGUCGCAAGACUA